This is a non-coding RNA of Pelodictyon phaeoclathratiforme, 219 nucleotides long. The record is from Rfam. NCBI's taxonomy places the organism in Bacteria, Pseudomonadati, Chlorobiota, Chlorobiia, Chlorobiales, Chlorobiaceae.
CAAGUUACUCACAUGAAAGGUAUAGCCAACCAUCAUGACCCCGAGUCAUGCCUCGAUAGCCAGCAAUGGAAUGGGGAAGCGUUGACAGGGGAAAACACAGGAGUCCUAUUGAGCUCCGAAAUCACCACAAUUUUCAGGCUGACCUCGUAGGAUGAGAGGGAAAGCAACAUCACCCAUACCGACAUGGCAAGGUGUGGUAGGCUGCGGCGUUGGUUUAUA